Molecule: ribosomal RNA, 253 nt
Filed under: uncultured bacterium
Lineage: Bacteria
Description: partial 16S ribosomal RNA
Rfam family: Bacterial small subunit ribosomal RNA
Source: RNAcentral
UACGUAGGGUGCGAGCGUUGUCCGGAAUUAUUGGGCGUAAAGAGCUUGUAGGCGGUUUGUCGCGUCUGCUGUGAAAUUCCAGGGCUUAACCCUGGGCUUGCAGUGGGUACGGGCAGACUAGAGUGUGGUAGGGGAGACUGGAAUUCCUGGUGUAGCGGUGAAAUGCGCAGAUAUCAGGAGGAACACCGGUGGCGAAGGCGGGUCUCUGGGCAGUAACUGACGCUGAGGAGCGAAAGCGUGGGUAGCGAACAGG